Molecule: small nuclear RNA, 202 nt
Organism: Papaver somniferum (opium poppy)
Lineage: Eukaryota; Viridiplantae; Streptophyta; Magnoliopsida; Ranunculales; Papaveraceae
Product: U2 spliceosomal RNA
Exons: 1
Source: RefSeq, a predicted model, not a curated record
AUACCUUUCUCGGCCUUUUGGCUAAGAUCAAGUGUAGUAUCUGUUCUUAUCAGUUUAAUAUCUGAUAUAUGCUCGUUAUGUGAUGGCGUGGUAUUAAAUUUAUUUUUUCUUGGGGGAUUUCCUGUCACAGCAGCUUGCUGCUGCUGGGGUUCUCAUGUGUCGCCUUUGCAUUCCACUACUGCAAUAGCCUGGCGCACCCCUA